RNAcentral lists this RNase P RNA (352 nucleotides) under Flavivirga aquatica. Its description in RNAcentral is "Algibacter sp. SK-16 Bacterial RNase P class A". It matches the Rfam family "Bacterial RNase P class A". From Rfam's summary of the family: Ribonuclease P (RNase P) is a ubiquitous endoribonuclease, found in archaea, bacteria and eukarya as well as chloroplasts and mitochondria. Its best characterised activity is the generation of mature 5'-ends of tRNAs by cleaving the 5'-leader elements of precursor-tRNAs. Cellular RNase Ps are ribonucleoproteins. The record is from Rfam by way of RNAcentral. Lineage: Bacteria; Pseudomonadati; Bacteroidota; Flavobacteriia; Flavobacteriales; Flavobacteriaceae.
UAAGCAGAUCGCCUUAUCGCUUUUGUAUUGAUUUUUUUAAUACUAGAGAGGAAAGUCCGGACACCAUAGUGCAAUAUAGUGGUUAACAGCCACCAGUCGUGAGGCUAGGAAAAGUGCAACAGAAAGUAUGUACAGGUAAUGCUGUAGUGAAAUCAGGUAAACUCUAUUAGGUGCAAUGUCAUGUAUACUAACGUUUGAGCGUGCACGCGCGAUUGUUAGAGGGUAGACAGCUAGAGUAUAUUAGUAAUAAUAUACGUAGAUAAAUGAUAAGGAUAUUUUAUAUUUUAAUUUGGAUAAAUCCAGAAACAAGAUUUAAGAUAUACAGAAUCCGGCUUAUAGAACUACUUAGAAA